UACGGAAGGCAGCAGUGGGGAAUAUUGCACAAUGGGCGAAAGCCUGAUGCAGCUAUGCCGCGUGUAUGAAGAAGGCCUUAGGGUUGUAAAGUACUUUCAUCGGGGAGGAAAAAACAAAACUAAUAAUUUUAUUUCUUGACGUUACCCGAAAAAGAAGCACCGGCUAACUCCGUGCCAGCAGCCGCGGUAAUACGGAGGGUGCUAGCGUUAAUCAGAAUUACUGGGCGUAAAGAGCACGUAGGUGGUUUUUUUAAGUCAGAUGUGAAAUCCCCUGGGCUUAACCUGGAACUGCAUUUUGAAACUGAAAUACUAGAGUAUCGUAGAGGGAGGUAGAAUUCUAGGUGUAGCGGUGAAAUGCGUAGAUAUCUGGAGGAAUACCUGUGGCGAAAGCGGCCUCCUAAACGAAUACUGACACUGAGGUGCGAAAGCGUGGGGAGCAAACAGGGAUUAGAUACC
RNAcentral lists this ribosomal RNA (456 nucleotides) under uncultured bacterium. RNAcentral describes it as "bacterial SSU rRNA". It matches the Rfam family "Bacterial small subunit ribosomal RNA", at positions 340 to 786 of the family's 1533-position model. The record is from RNAcentral.